This 230-nucleotide ribosomal RNA is filed under the name uncultured bacterium. Its description in RNAcentral is "partial 16S ribosomal RNA". It matches the Rfam family "Bacterial small subunit ribosomal RNA", at positions 524 to 753 of the family's 1533-position model. The record is from RNAcentral.
UACAGAGGUCCCAAGCGUUGUUCGGAUUCACUGGGCGUAAAGGGUGCGUAGGCGGCGCGGUAAGUCGGGUGUGAAAUCUCGGGGCUUAACUCCGAAACUGCAUUCGAUACUGCCGUGCUUGAGGACUGGAGAGGAGACUGGAAUUUACGGUGUAGCGGUGAAAUGCGUAGAUAUCGUAAGGAAGACCAGUGGCGAAGGCGGGUCUCUGGACAGUUCCUGACGCUGAGACG